UUUUCAUCCGAGGGGAGCCUUGCGUCGGACGAUGCGGGGCUGAGACGGCGGUCGCGCCGGACCCUUUGAACCUGAUCCGGAUCAUGCCGGCGGAGGGACGGACCUGAUGGUCGAU
RNAcentral lists this non-coding RNA (115 nucleotides) under Hyphomicrobiales bacterium. Its description in RNAcentral is "Rhizobiales bacterium TPP sequence". It matches the Rfam family "TPP riboswitch aptamer (THI element)". From Rfam's summary of the family: Vitamin B(1) in its active form thiamin pyrophosphate (TPP) is an essential coenzyme that is synthesised by coupling of pyrimidine and thiazole moieties in bacteria. Lineage: Bacteria; Pseudomonadati; Pseudomonadota; Alphaproteobacteria; Hyphomicrobiales. The record is from RNAcentral.